Molecule: ribosomal RNA, 416 nt
Filed under: uncultured bacterium
Lineage: Bacteria
Description: bacterial SSU rRNA
Rfam family: Bacterial small subunit ribosomal RNA
Source: RNAcentral
GGAAUAUUCCACAAUGGGCGAAAGCCUGAUGGAGCGACGCCGCGUGAGUGAAGAAGGGCUUCGGCUCGUAAAGCUCUUUUCUGAAGGACGAAUGGCUAUUUGGAAUAGCAGGGACGGUACUUUGGGAAUAAGCCACGGCUAACUACGUGCCAGCAGCCGCGGUAAUACGUAGGUGGCAAGCGUUAUCCGGAUUUAUUGGGCGUAAAGCGAGCGCAGGCGGUUUGAUAAGUCUGAUGUGAAAGCCUUUGGCUUAACCAAAGAAGUGCAUCGGAAACUGUCAGACUUGAGUGCAGAAGAGGACAGUGGAACUCCAUGUGUAGCGGUGGAAUGCGUAGAUAUAUGGAAGAACACCAGUGGCGAAGGCGGCUGUCUGGUCUGCAACUGACGCUGAGGCUCGAAAGCAUGGGUAGCGAACA